Molecule: ribosomal RNA, 472 nt
Filed under: uncultured bacterium
Lineage: Bacteria
Description: bacterial SSU rRNA
Rfam family: Bacterial small subunit ribosomal RNA
Source: RNAcentral
UGGGGAAUAUUGGACAAUGGGCGAAAGCCUGAUCCAGCCAUGCCGCGUGUGUGAAGAAGGUCUUCGGAUUGUAAAGCACUUUAAGUUGGGAGGAAGGGCAUUAACCUAAUACGUUAGUGUUUUGACGUUACCGACAGAAUAAGCACCGGCUAACUCUGUGCCAGCAGCCGCGGUAAUACAGAGGGUGCAAGCGUUAAUCGGAAUUACUGGGCGUAAAGCGCGCGUAGGUGGUUAGUUAAGUUGGAUGUGAAAUCCCCGGGCUCAACCUGGGAACUGCAUUCAAAACUGACUGACUAGAGUAUGGUAGAGGGUGGUGGAAUUUCCUGUGUAGCGGUGAAAUGCGUAGAUAUAGGAAGGAACACCAGUGGCGAAGGCGACCACCUGGACUGAUACUGACACUGAGGUGCGAAAGCGUGGGGAGCAAACAGGAUUAGAUACCCCUGUAGUCCCUGAGCGGGCUGGCAAGGCGCAU